UACGUAGGGUGCAAGCGUUGUCCGGAAUUAUUGGGCGUAAAGAGCUCGUAGGCGGUUUGUCGCGUCGAAUGUGAAAACCCGAGGCUCAACCUCGGGUCUGCAGUCGAUACGGGCGGACUGGAGUUCGGCAGGGGAGACUGGAAUUCCUGGUGUAGCGGUGAAAUGCGCAGAUAUCAGGAGGAACACCAAUAGCGAAGGCAGCUCGCUGGGACGGUAUUGACGCUAAGGCGCGAAAGCGUGGGGAGCAAACAGG
This 253-nucleotide ribosomal RNA is filed under the name uncultured bacterium. RNAcentral describes it as "partial 16S ribosomal RNA". It matches the Rfam family "Bacterial small subunit ribosomal RNA", at positions 524 to 776 of the family's 1533-position model. The record is from RNAcentral.